This 376-nucleotide ribosomal RNA is filed under the name Vorticellidae sp. RNAcentral describes it as "partial small subunit ribosomal RNA". It matches the Rfam family "Eukaryotic small subunit ribosomal RNA", at positions 582 to 975 of the family's 1831-position model. Lineage: Eukaryota; Ciliophora; Oligohymenophorea; Sessilida; Vorticellidae. The record is from RNAcentral.
AUUCCAGCUCCAAUAGCGUAUAUUAAAGUUGUUGCAGUUAAAAAGCUCGUAGUUGAAGUUCUGGCUGUUCGGUCCUCGCGCUCUGUAGCCGAGGAAUCGACAGUCAUCCGCUUGCAAAUAUAUGUUCUCCUUUAAUCGGGAGGCUAUAUGAGUAAGCAUUUUACCUUGAGAAAAACAGAGUGUUCCAGGCAGGUAUGUCCGGAAUGCGUUAGCAUGGAAUAAUAGAAUAUGACUGAAGUCGAUUUAUUGGUUUGAGGCUUUAGUAAUGAUUAAUAGGAACAGUCGGGGGCAUUGGUACUUGACAGUCAGAGGUGAAAUUCUAGGAUUUGUCAAAGACUAACAAAUGCGAAAGCAUUUGCCAAGGAUGUUUUCAUUA